Molecule: unclassified non-coding RNA, 624 nt
Filed under: Bombus terrestris (buff-tailed bumblebee)
Lineage: Eukaryota; Metazoa; Arthropoda; Insecta; Hymenoptera; Apidae
Description: misc RNA ENSBTSG00005020599.1
Source: RNAcentral
UGUUGAAUGUUGAUGUUCUUGAAUGUUGAUGACACUCGAAUGUUCUUUGACGUGGAAAUGUUCGAGAGAUAAGGUAGUCUUAGGUAACGCUUGUUCGGUUAAAUACAUAAAGGAACGUGUGCAAAGGAAACGAAGAGGAACUGAAAUUUUGACAGAAUUUCAGGUGCUCCUCGUUCCCAAGGAAAUAAUUCGAACGUCGUGUCGAUGGGAGACGAAUGGCACGGAAUAAUAACGUUUCGUUUCGCCAUGUGGCUCGGCUGACACGUUGCGAACCGCGUCUACUUCGCGCUGCGAGUUAGUGGUUGGUUGGCGGCGCGUCAUCGCAUAUUAAACAGGGGAAAAUGAUGAAGCCGCGUGCGAUUCAACGCAACCAGCUCGCGGAAGAGCCGUUACCUGCACCAAUAGAACGCGGACGGAAGCGUUUCGAGGAUUCCGCUUGAAACGUUCCGCUUGCUGCGCUGGGACACGUUCCACGGAAAGCUGUCAUCAGGUUCAUCUCCGUAAAUCCCGCGGAUUAACGUGCACCACAGCCAAUACGUAAUAUUUAAUGCUUGGAAUUUUUUCCAGCUCCAUGGCCUAGCUUCUUUCUAUCCUCCUGCCUAUUUUUAUUUUCUAUUUCCUCUC